RNAcentral lists this ribosomal RNA (500 nucleotides) under uncultured bacterium. Its description in RNAcentral is "partial 16S ribosomal RNA". It matches the Rfam family "Bacterial small subunit ribosomal RNA", at positions 30 to 523 of the family's 1533-position model. The record is from RNAcentral.
AUUGAACGCUGGCGGCAUGCCUUACACAUGCAAGUCGAACGGCAGCACGGGAGCAAUCCUGGUGGCGAGUGGCGAACGGGUGAGUAAAGUAUCGGAACGUGCCCAGCCGUGGGGGAUAACGUAGCGAUCGUUACGCUAAUACCGCAUACGAACUACGGAUGAAAGCGGGGGAUCGCAAGACCUCGCGCGAUUGGGACGGCCGUUAUCAGAUUAGGUAGGUGGUGGGGUAAAGGCUCACCAAGCCGACGAUCUGUAGCUGGUCUGAGAGGACGACCAGCCACACUGGGACUGAGACACGGCCCAGACUCCUACGGGAGGCAGCAGUGGGGAAUUUUGGACAAUGGGCGAAAGCCUGAUCCAGCCAUGCCGCGUGCAGGAUGAAGGCCUUCGGGUUGUAAACUGCUUUUGUACGGAACGAAAAGGUUUGGGCUAAUAAGCUGAGCUCAUGACGGUACCGUAAGAAUAAGCACCGGCUAACUACGUGCCAGCAGCCGCCGUAA